RNAcentral lists this ribosomal RNA (626 nucleotides) under uncultured bacterium. RNAcentral's name for it is "bacterial SSU rRNA". It matches the Rfam family "Bacterial small subunit ribosomal RNA", at positions 11 to 636 of the family's 1533-position model. The record is from RNAcentral.
GUUUGAUCCUGGCUCAGGACGAACGCUGGCGGCGUGCUUAACACAUGCAAGUCGAACGAGAAUCUGUGGAUCGAGGAUUCGUCCAAGUGAAGCAGAGGACAGUGGCGGACGGGUGAGUAACGCGUGAGGAACCUGCCUUUCAGAGGGGGACAACAGUUGGAAACGACUGCUAAUACCGCAUGAUACAUUUGGGUGGCAUCAUCUGAAUGUCAAAGAUUUAUCGCUGAAAGAUGGCCUCGCGUCUGAUUAGCUAGUUGGUGAGGUAACGGCCCACCAAGGCGACGAUCAGUAGCCGGACUGAGAGGUUGACCGGCCACAUUGGGACUGAGAUACGGCCCAGACUCCUACGGGAGGCAGCAGUGGGGAAUAUUGGGCAAUGGGCGCAAGCCUGACCCAGCAACGCCGCGUGAAGGAAGAAGGCUUUCGGGUUGUAAACUUCUUUUAAGAGGGAAGAGCAGAAGACUGUACCUCUAGAAUAAGCCACGGCUAACUACGUGCCAGCAGCCGCGGUAAUACGUAGGUGGCAAGCGUUGUCCGGAUUUACUGGGUGUAAAGGGCGUGCAGCCGGGAAUGCAAGUCAGAUGUGAAAUCCAUGGGCUUAACCCAUGAACUGCAUUUGAAACUGU